Molecule: transfer RNA, 72 nt
Filed under: Schistocerca americana (American grasshopper)
Lineage: Eukaryota; Metazoa; Arthropoda; Insecta; Orthoptera; Acrididae
Also listed under: 1 other name
Description: tRNA-Pro
Rfam family: tRNA
About the family: Transfer RNA (tRNA) molecules are approximately 80 nucleotides in length. Their secondary structure includes four short double-helical elements and three loops (D, anti-codon, and T loops). Further hydrogen bonds mediate the characteristic L-shaped molecular structure. tRNAs have two regions of fundamental functional importance: the anti-codon, which is responsible for specific mRNA codon recognition, and the 3' end, to which the tRNAs corresponding amino acid is attached (by aminoacyl-tRNA synthetases). tRNAs cope with the degeneracy of the genetic code in two manners: having more than one tRNA (with a specific anti-codon) for a particular amino acid; and 'wobble' base-pairing, i.e. permitting non-standard base-pairing at the 3rd anti-codon position.
Source: RNAcentral
GGCUCGUUGGUCUAGGGGUAUGAUUCCUGCUUCGGGUGCAGGAGGUCCCAGGUUCAAAUCCCGGACGAGCCC